Molecule: long non-coding RNA, 4982 nt
Organism: Dicentrarchus labrax (European seabass)
Lineage: Eukaryota; Metazoa; Chordata; Actinopteri; Moronidae
Exons: 2
Source: RefSeq, a predicted model, not a curated record
CAUUUAGGAAAUUUGUGACUAAUUACUUUGUUGCCAACUUGUACGUUAAAACUGUCCGUUCGUGCAUGUGAUUUCCAGUCGUGUGCAUAUGGCAGAUUAAGCUGUCUAAAUUCAUUUUGUGUACUUCUUGCAUUGCAAAGUAGCCUCGUAUAGUUCUUUUAUUCCACAAGAUUUUAACAUUUAGUCUUAAACAUGUGCGCGAGGUUGCCUGACAUUUCGACUGCACCGGGAGAGCGUUUCCCCCACCCGGUUGUACAUUGAACACAAGAGAGAGUCGUCUUUCCUGGGCUAUAAAUUUAUUUGAAAACUGUCGACAACGUGCCUUUGCGACGCUCCGAAUAAAUAAAAGCCGAUUUUCUUCGUGCUCGGUUAGCGGCGGAAUAUCAUCUGACAUAAGCGAAAGUCGUUUACAGUUGGUGUGAAUUGUCGACAUGUCAACUUUGGCUCCUCCGAGCGCAGACGUGGUCAGGACCCGGUAAAGCAAAGGGAGGAGGCAUUUUGUAUUUGCAUGCUUGCUGGCGAAAUCGACAAAAGUGACAGCAAUUUUGAGUCCGCCGUCGGAUAUAGACUGUCACUCUGUGCUCGAAUGGCCUGUGCAAUAGUCAUUUUUACCCCUCAACUUCAAAGAAAAGCUCCACCUUUUUCUCCAUUUCUCCUUUGUUCUUCUGUAUUGUUUCACCAAUUCCUCUGGUUAACAUACUGCUGCAAGUUAGAUACAACCCCCCUCCACCCACCCCCUCUCCCCUCCUGCUUGUUGUCAUUUCACCCAUAAACUGGAUCAUCAUUUUGACAUUUCGUGACCACGCACAUUCAGCCGGACGUGGCACCAACGUUCAGCCUGUAUUGAUGUGUGUUAUCACACCAUCAUGGCUCGUUUGGGACCGUGGAGGUAGAGCAGGCGCUCCACUGUGCCUUUAAGUGGAGGAGUGCUGGAGAUUAGCUUGGUCCAGGAUCCUGGGCCCAUCUGUCAGAGAGAUGCUCCGACAGAGAGGAAGUGUUGGGCACAAGCAGGAGAACCAUCUGCUCCUCCAUAGAGGUACCCUGGCACCUCCAUGGUGCGCUGUAAAGCACGGGGAGUGGACCACACAACACCUUGCACAUCACCCACACUGUUGCCAUUGUUGUUGUGACAUUGUUACUAAACCCUAGCAAAAAGGAUGCUGGACAUCGACAUUUUUGCACGCUCCCAGGUCAGAGACUUGCAACCCCAGACUUGCACACUCAUUGCGUGAUGCUCUGGAUGCAGGCUAAAUGCGAAAUUUUCUGUUGAAUCUGUGUUUAUACACAAGUCGACCGAGCGUGCUUGCACUUUUCAUGCAAUGCCCUGCUCCACAGUUUCCCAGAGUCCCACGGGGAAUUACCCAAUACAAUCACGGCCACCUGAACGGCUCAGUGAAGCACUUGAUGUUAAAGUGCUUGAUGUAAAUGUUAAAUGAAUAAUAUCUUCCUUGUAGCUGCUUCCAUUUCUCUCAUCACACAUUUGUGUUUUAAUUAUUGGGAAGUACAUUUCAUUAUUACCUUUUGUGGGACUGUUUCCCUCUGUUGUGUCCCAACGUGCUUCAAGAGUGUGUGUGUGUGUGUGUCUGCUGUCAAGCUGCUGUUUCAUCUCGGAGAUGUUUUAGCAUUCUGAUGUUGAAUGUCUCCUUGCUAUAAACUGUGGUUAAUGAAGUGUUUCAGUGUGCUAUAAUUAGCCUCUGUCUUGGGUUUCUGACUUCAUUUCACACGUUUGUCAGAUUAUAAUUAGUCACACUUGACACUAAUUGGAUGUCGCUCCUGUGGACCAGUUUGACCUUUUUUUUGUAUUAAGAUGAUUCACUUUAGGGAAAUGAAACGCUGGUUUGACUUUGUUGUAGAGAUGUGGCAGAUGAAGCCGCAGUGUGCAAGCCUGUGCACGUCUGUGUGUGAGGUCUGUCCCUCCUAUGAGCAUGGGGGUGGGGGUUGGGGGGGGGACAGUAAUCUCCAGAAUCUGCUGAUUAUUAAAAUGGAGUCUGGAAUAUUUGAUUAAUAAAGAAGCUCAUAAAGCUGCUCAUUAAAAUUUUAGCCACAGCUGGAGCUUUCUUUGGGCCAGACACAUCUUCCAGCCACAGCUCUCCUGACGUUACAUCGGCGAGAUCCUUCCCCCCCGUUCAUCACUGGCUACCUUGACGCUGGUGUUGAGUAGACUUUGGGUGAGUCAGGCCUGCUGUUUAUUGGCACUGCAGUGUGGAGGUGUAUGGUCUGGUUUUACUCCUGCCCUCAACCAGACUGUGUUGUUCUGAUUGGUUGUAAUCAGAGGUUGUUGUCAGGAUGCAGUCACUCUGUAGGCCCUCCUCCUCCUCCUCCUCAUCCUCAUCCUCAUCCUCCUCCCCCUCUCUUGUUAUGUGGUAGCUCUAGCUUCCUGUGAAGGAGCAGUGCACCUGCAAAUUGAAGAAACCUCCUGAAUAGAGACUAAAGUUGUGUUUUUUGGAUCACAUUUAUUCUUUCUCAUUAAUUUCAAGUCGGCGAUCUCUUGACAAUUUUUUUUAAGGAGACGCUGGAGUUUUGUCAUGACUGCAGAGCACUUUGCCUGUGCAAAGCCGCCCUCCUGCAAACUAUAUUUUGUCGUCAGAUAUGCAAAAUGAGUGUUGACACAUGCUCACAUUACGGACGGGGCCAUGUGACACGGCGAACCGUUGACAGGAACAUGCUGAUAGCGGAGGCCCACUGGCCACAAGAUUUGCUUUUGUUCCUCGCCCUCAUACACACACUCACCUUCUCUGCUCAACUGGAAGAUAUGCAGGAUGUGUAACACAUACCUCUGAGGCACCUUUUUGAGCCCUGCAAAGCACACAAGUGUUUCUAGUUUGGUUUGAUUUCACACACUCUUUUAAACAGAGCUCGACUUUAAAGGAUAAUUCUGGUUUAUUCACAGCUUGGGUUAUUUUUGUAGUUUCGUUUCUUUUAGUUUUGGUAGAACUGGAUUCGCAAAAGUAACUGCUGAGAUCUGGGAACAUGGGAAAAUAGUCCAGUGGUUAAAGAAAUGAGCAGUGAAGCAAUCAACUAGUUUGUACAUAAGCCAAUAGUUAGCCAGACUAUCUUAAAUAUAUAUAUAAUUUGAGUUGCUUAAGAUGAUUAACAUAUUAGAAAAGCAGGAAUAUAUAUAUACUUUUUUUCAACCUGUUGGCUUCACUGCAACCGGUUAUGACAGUUCGCAAUUAGACAUUGCUCUGGGGGUCACAAGCCAAAAUGGUUGAGAACAGUUGAUCUAAACCGCUUAAUUUAGAGGUGAAACUGAAAGUGAGUGCAUUUGAAAUAUUGGUCCCUCAUUGUACAGGAAACUGUGUGCUCACAUUUAUAAUAAAUAUGGUAGGUCAAAGUUGUACCAGGAAGCUGGUUUGUAAACUGCGCCGGAUGUUUACAACAGAUAUUUGAGUAAUAGUUUUAACAGUUUGUUGGUAUGAUUGCAGAUUGCUUGUGGGUUGUUCUCUCCUUUUUUAGUGAUGUUGCUCAAAUCUUAGAAAUUGAAUGAGUACAAAGUUAUCAUAAUGGAUAGGGAUGGUGGCCAAAGCUGUAAAUAAAAAUAGUCCAGAGUUGUAAUAAACUGGAAUUAUUCUUAAACUACUUUUGUGUCUUUGAUUUCAGAGGACAGUGGAAAAUCAGAAACAUGUGCCUCAGUGCAGACAUGAGGGGAAAACUAGUGAGUGCUAAUGUAGGGGUGGCGUGUAUGUGUCAGUGUGUCUCUCACUCCCUUCUGUGGCGUUGGUGGUUGUGUAGGUCUUGUCACUCAUUAUAAGUGUCAGAAAGAUCUCUCACCUAAGCCGGUGCACCUGCUGCCUGAGGUGGUGGGGGCCACUGAUGGAGAGCUUGUCGUUGCACAGACAGCUAGCACCCACCAGAAGACUUUUUUUACCACUUAUUUGUUCUCUCUCACCCCCCCCCAACCCCUUCAUGUCUCACUCGAGACGGAUUGGCGUCCUCUCUUGCUUUGCUCACCUCGAGUAAUCUAGGGAGUUUCUUGGCACUCCGCGGCGUGCGUACCCUUUGAGCACGCACUCGUUGCUGACUCCAGGGAGCAUUUACAGCUGGUGUGCUUUUAGUAAACUGAUAUGUCACACUGCGUCCCAUCGGAGCUGUGCGUUGAUAUCAAGGAAUGGCAGCGAAGCCAACAGAAGAAAUCCUUGAUUGAAGCUACCGGUGAAGAUGUCAAACCUCUGAACUUGCAGCUUUAUGGCCAAUCUGUUUUUGAGUAUAUCCCUGUGUGAUUCCUCUUGUAAAAAUUCCUGCAUCUUAAAGGGCGAGAGAGCGCCAGUACAUGUCAGAAAUUGGUGUUUUCUUGGCUCAGUGAGCACUAAGAAACACUCCAGAUGACAUCUACAAGGCGGAGAGUAGCAGUGAUAUGAUCAUUAAUGGCAAUAAAGACAAUAUCUUGGUGUGAUUGUAACGCCGGGAUGGAAGAACAAAGCCUAUAGUUAUUAGUCAUGAUCUGCUUGUUUUUGCUUUCAACCUUCUUUCUCACCAUCAUGUCUUUUUUUUGAGCCCCCUGUCUUGUUUUUAUUUCUCUCUUUGUCUUUCUCACACCUUUCCAGCCCCCCCCCCGCUCUGUACCUGUGACUGUUUACUCUUCUCAGUCACACGGGCACGAAGCCUCUCUUUCCCAGAAGCCUCACACAGACACACACACACACUGUGGCUUUGUCUGAACCGCAGAGGCAGUGGGCUUUUGUGCGUUAGGACAGCAUUCCUAACACGGCUGUUCAUCUGCUGGACGUCGUCUCGUCAAGGGGGUUAGCAGGGUGAAGACGAAACAGAAGGAGGGCAGAGCGGGCUCUGGAAGACGCUGACAAAUCAGGCUCCUACCUCUUCUACCUUCUAGUUUAAAAUUCCAGGCUCGACUCGCAGCCCCGCAGCUCAUUAGUUUCACUUCAAAAUGGCCGUCUUCCUAAUGUUGUAAUUGAGAACACGUGGAGGAACUUCAUUAUGCGAGUGUGGAGAUGUUCAUACUAGAAGAACCAGUAGCUGUUAUU